This 465-nucleotide ribosomal RNA is filed under the name uncultured bacterium. RNAcentral's name for it is "partial 16S ribosomal RNA". It matches the Rfam family "Bacterial small subunit ribosomal RNA", at positions 339 to 795 of the family's 1533-position model. The record is from RNAcentral.
CUACGGGGGGCAGCAGUGAGGAAUUUUGCGCAAUGGGCGAAAGCCUGACGCAGCAACGCCGCGUGAGUGAUGAAGGCCUUCGGGUCGUAAAGCUCUGUCAAGUGGGAAGAACCUAUGUAAUGUUAAUAUCAUUAUAUACUGACGGUACCACUGAAGGAAGCACCGGCUAACUCCGUGCCAGCAGCCGCGGUAAUACGGGGGGUGCAAGCGUUAUUCGGAAUCAUUGGGCGUAAAGGGCACGUAGGCGGCCUGGUAAGUCAGAUGUGAAAGCCCGGGGCUUAACCCCGGAAGUGCAUUUGAUACUGCCAGGCUUGAGUAUGGGAGAGGGAAGUGGAAUUCCUGGUGUAGAGGUGAAAUUCGUAGAUAUCAGGAGGAACACCGGUGGCGAAGGCGACUUCCUGGACCAAUACUGACGCUGAGGUGCGAAGGCGUGGGUAGCAAACAGGAUUAGAUACCCGUGUAGUC